AACGAACGCUGGCGGCAUGCCUAACACAUGCAAGUCGAACGAGAGCUUCGGGUCUAGUGGCGCACGGGUGCGUAAAGGGGGGGAAAAUGCCCUUAGGUUUGGAAUAACUCCCCGGAAGGGGUGCUAAUACCGGAUAAAGUAUUCGGAACAAAGAGUGAUCGGCUUUGGGUGGGCGUGGGUUGGAUUAGCUAGUUGGUAGGGUAAAAGCCUACCAAGGCGACGAUCCAUAGCUGGUCUGAGAGGAUGAUCAGCCACACUGGGACUGAGACACGGCCCAGACUCCUACGGGAGGCAGCAGUGGGGAAUAUUGGACAAUGGGCGAAAGCCUGAUCCAGCAAUGCCGCGUGAGUGAUGAAGGCCUUAGGGUUGUAAAGCUCUUUUACCCGGGAUGAUAAUGACAGUACCGGGAGAAUAAGCCCCGGCUAACUCCGUG
This 433-nucleotide ribosomal RNA is filed under the name uncultured bacterium. RNAcentral's name for it is "partial 16S ribosomal RNA". It matches the Rfam family "Bacterial small subunit ribosomal RNA", at positions 29 to 507 of the family's 1533-position model. The record is from RNAcentral.